RNAcentral lists this ribosomal RNA (406 nucleotides) under uncultured bacterium. RNAcentral's name for it is "partial 16S ribosomal RNA". It matches the Rfam family "Bacterial small subunit ribosomal RNA", at positions 30 to 526 of the family's 1533-position model. The record is from RNAcentral.
AUUGAACGCUGGCGGCAUGCCUAACACAUGCAAGUCGAACGAGUGGCGGACGUGUGAGUUAUGUCUGGGACACUGCCUGAUGGAGGGGGAUAACUUCUGGAAACUGUUGCUAAUACCGCAUACCAUCAUUUGUGCCCAGAUGGGAGUAGCUUGUUGCUGGGGUAACGGCUCACCAAGGCGACGAUCCCUAGCUGGUCUGAGAGGAUGACCAGCCACACUGAAACUGAGACACGGUCCAGACUCGUACGAGAGGCAGCAGUGAGGAAUAUUGCACAAUGGGCGCAAGCCUGAUGCAGCCAUGCCGCGUGUAUGAAGAAGGCCUUCGGGUUGUAAAGUACUUUCAGCGGGGAGGCGUUACCCGCAGAAGAAGCACAGGCUAACUCCGUGCCAGCAGCCGCGGUAAUAC